GAUUGCCAGUACACUCACUCCGAUUAAGAACCAGGCUAAAGUCUACAUUAGUGGUUUAUCUUUUUUUAUCUACUUGACUUACUGAACGAACCAAAGAAUAAUAAUAAUUCAUUCAGCAGUUGGUUGACAAAGGGCUGUAAAUUAGUUGUAUAUAUACGUACUAGGUACUGGACGUGGCUAAUCUGUACAUAUACUCGUGUAGUGACAUUGAAUGAGUCACUGUAGCGCGUGGCGCUGGGAGAUUGGUAGACAAUGGAAUUAGGGGUAGCAGCCCGCUCUACCAGUUUGACCCGUGGGCCAAGCCCGGAGCCUUCUGGGGGAUCCAAAAGGGGGCGUGGCCGAGGGCGGAGCCUGGCCACACUGGGGAGAAUAAAAGGCGAGCUCCGACUCACAGUCGGGACUGCUGCCAUUGGGAAUGGAACUUGCCAUCCUGCUGUCGUCGUGGUCUUCACCUCUUCAAGCUGUGGGUCUGGAAGCAUGUUGGCUGUUCCUACCCGAGCUCGAGAGGAGUCAACAUGUCGAUGCGGGUCCCGCUGGGGACCACAGAAUCUGGUAGAACGUGCAGCUGGGGAGCGGCAGGUGGCUCUCAUCUAAUGAGGUAUGCGUGACUCUGGGUAGAAUAACCCCCCGUUGCAUAUUAUUGAUUUAAAGUGCAAAACAAUUGGCGUGCACGUGAUGACCACGUUAUAGGCGCACCUGAAUGAGGAACGGAUACGCAGGUUGCUGCAAUGCUGGGGAGAUUUGGGUUUUGUUGUUUUUGCUGUUCACUCCGGAUUUUUGAGAUGUGUCGGAGUGCCACAUACACAAUGGUGUCGGUGAUGAGGAAAAUGAAAUCAGAACGAGCCAAGAUACAUAUUGUUUUAUUCAAUGGGAUUUGCUGCAGAUUUUUGUGGUAAACCAGGGAUCACGCAUUGAGCCAGAUGACAAAUGCUUAGCCCCUUAAUGCAUGCAUCCUCUCUUAACCCUACCCCGCAUUCUCUCACUGCACAAUAUCUUUAAGAAUUUGUUACUUGUACAGUGUUCAUUCAUUCGGUGGUACAAUUCGGAUUGCAAUUUUUUUUCUUCUUUUGCUGGUGAAGCGUCGGCUUAUUUCAUUACAAAAAAAUAAACGAGCACCUAGGGGCUGACGACUGAUGAUCCUUGCAAAAUUGUGUCAUCAUGGUCAAUGGUUUACAUAAAUCAAAAACAAUUGCAUCGAGCGCGCAACGUGUCCCGCUUUACACUCUUUCCUUUAACAUCGCUUCUUGGAACACUUUAAAUGGUCACAGCACACUGCUUGGGAGUUGCUGCUGCUGCUGGCAAAUGUUGUUUUGUUGAUUUGAUGCAGAGACACAGUCCCCAGGAGCUCCUCGGCUUGCGAUCCCUGGCCCUGCAUUCCCAGCGCUGCAUUUGUCAAGUCACUUAAUGUGAGGAGCGGGUGCAUGGAGCAUUAUCCAGGGCUCGCCUUUGCAUUUAUAUGGAGUUAAUGUUGUCGGUAGCUCCGUUCUGAAUUAUUUAUUGAAUGGGUUUCACAAAGCCGGAGACCACUCCCACCCACCGCCCACCUCCCAUCUUUUCCAACACUCACAUUUUAAAUUCCACUCGGUUACCACUGGCUUCUGCGCAGCCUGCUGCGCAUUUAUUUAUUUAUUCCCGCACAAAAUGUAUCCUUUAAUUGUAUCUGCCUCAUAAUGAGUAAUAGUACCGUUAUUGCGAUCGCUGGAGUGCUUUCGACAACAUCGCUAAUUGAAUUAUGGGCGCGCACAGACAACUGUAUGUAACCCCGACCUUGAUGGAGAAUGCAAAAAUCUCGCACGUUCCUCGUGUGAGAUUUUUAUAGGAGGUUUCAAACAGGACACACGCGCGUGUUAAUAGCACACAGCCUUUGUCAUUUGCAUAAACCAUUAGCGUUUACUGAAGCAGUGCAUUGUGGGUCCUCUUGUGUUAGAUUACCAUCAAAAUAACAUUCGAGCAAAUGUGACCAAGUGAUAGCAGCAGUGAUGCAGUUAUAAUUAACUGUGGACCGGCUUCAAUAUAUGUAGGGUGCGUCAGCACAGUAUAGUCAACCAAUGUUCACUGCUGGAAAGCCUGUGGAGUACCUACAUCCAAACUAUGGGGCCUUUUAGCUUGCUUGGCUAAUGCCAGAAAAAGUCACAUAUGUAAAUGCGGGAAAGCUCAUCAAAAAUAAUGUUUCAAACUCAUUGCUUUUCAGCCUGCGGUAUUAUUCUAUGAUAUUUUAUUUAAAUCUUUAUUUGCAGAUUUGACAGUUGUGGGCGGUGAUCUACGAGAGGUAAAAUUGCGCCUCUGAAGCUUAUUGCGCUAUCCACUGCUGGUGCAAGGGCCUCCCACUAGAGGGAGAUCUAGAGAGCCCCCCCUCUAGAGGGUAUUUGACCUCGCCUUCGACUCGAGCCAAAUAGUCAUCACACUAUACCCCCAUUCAUACCGCUCGUGGGGUGAGGGGGGGGUGGCGAAUAUUUAAGAACGUUGAACCAUCGUUUCUCAGCCGCCAAGAGACGGAAUGUAACCGACAACCUCUGGAUCGCGAGUCCACUUGCGCGAAACCAUCGACACCCACGGCAUCAGCCGUUGCGUAAAUGAGCAGGGCCGAAAUAUUUUUAAAAAAAUUCCAGACAACGCAAAGUUGAGGGCGCACGCCGAUUCAAAAACAAACACACACAAAAUAACACACUGGCCGGUGAUGGACGCUCCAUUGGCCCUGGUGCGCGGAUGAAUGGUCGGCUACAAAGCGGGGACGGCACGUGGUGGUGGUGGCGGCGACGGCGGCAGAACCACGCCGUUGGUCGCAGUGCGCUCAAUGUCUGUGCCCGCAGGGGUUCUUGAUCCGUCGGUCGAUGCGGCCGAUGACCGAUAGCGCGAUGGAUAGGAGCGUGAGUAAUGGACCCAUCUUCGGGCGGGCCCGUUCGAUGGCAGGAAAUCCUUGGAUGGGCAAUGCGAUGUGGCGGUCGUGGAGCACGUUCCUCUACGGCAGGGUCGGCGUGGUUCAGUCGAUCAGCACUCGGCUGAUGGGACCACUGAUAAAUGAAUCAGUGCUUCCAACCACCCCCCCCCCCCCCCCCGUCGACUGCACCUUCUGCCCUCCUAAUAACAAGAAAGUCGGCGCCGAAGUUGGGGCAUUAUAGAUAUUAUCUGUGGGGUUAUCAUCAGGCUAACUGCUUUUAUGCGCUACGUAAGUUAUCGAUUGAGGAGCACGACAGAAAGAUGUUGAUAAACUUAUCUUGGCACGCGGCAGCUUUUUUAGAUGGAAAAAUAUGCACUUUGACUUAAAACGUUGUGACUUUACCGAAAGAGCCAAAGAAUAUUAUAUGCACUUUAUCUGAUGCUAAUUGGAUAGCAUUACUGUAUAUUGAAUAUGAUUCGUUGAUGCACAUUGCUUUCGAGCCAUGCACCUUCCAUGUAUGUUUUUUAAUAUUUAAUGUUGUGAUCUAGCAUGAUAUAAUGUUUGUCAACGUGUUUGUCAGUUACAUAAGAAGCAUAUAAUGAUAUUACAAUAUUAUUUUCCAAUACAGUUUUUGUUGGUUUAUAUAAGAGCAUUAUAUAAUGAUUUUGCAUCUAAAUAUAUAAUGCUAUCAUGCAUGACGCGUUUGUUACCAGAAUGCUUCGUGAGAUAUGGCAAAAAUGGCAAACAGUGAAAGGAAUGGAACACAGAAUGGAGUGUUGAAUGACAGGCGCCCGUGCAACACGCGAAGCUGGACAGUGUACGCGUGUUAUUGGCGUGCGCACGCGUUCACAUUGCCCUGUGCUUGUGAGAUGUAUUGCCAUGACAACAGAUGUAUUUAGCCUUAAUAAAAAAAAAAACUAAUUUAAUUUUGUGAGAAUAUUUAUGUUGAACAAAACACAUUGGAAUGAUAAGUGUUUAUUUUAUUUAUAUUUGUACGCAGUUAUUGCUGAAUAUAAGACAAACACUAAUCGGCAUUAUUUAUCACGUUGUUUAAAUAAAUAUGAAUAUGAAUAGUUUUAAAUACAAAUUAGAUCUCUAUUCACUAACGCUUAACUCAAAGAGGUGAAGUGCCAAAAAACCCUAAAUUGUAUUAUUAUGAACUUUGGUUUCAUAUAUUAUUUAUGCAUUUGGGUAUUUAGUAAGCCUGUUGUAAGUACAAGUAAGUGAAGCAUAACUCAUUACUUUAUAAUUUUUCUCACGUCUCAGAGGGUUGUAGUGAAACUCUGUUAUCAUGAGUUUAGAAGCUGCAUAUUACAAUUUCAUACAACGCUGUGGUUUAAUGCUUGCGACCUGCAAAAAUACAUUUACGGAGUAAGUGAACUUGAAAAAAAGAAUGAUUAAAUGCAUCGUCCAGCGUUUAUUUUUUUAAACUCAACUGUGACCAGGAAAUUUAAACCACCGUGUGUCUUGCUUUACAUUUUGUUCGUCCUGUGGAAAAGUCACAACAAAUCAAAUGAAAGCGAUUCAGAAAACAAUAAAAGGUUUCACGCCAGAUGAGAUUUUUGUUUCCUGACCGCGGAAUACGUAAAAGCUGUAUCAAAAUGUUCGGGAACAAGCUCCGAGUGAAAUAUGAUCAAUCAACAGCCUGGGUUUGCUGUGUUGUGGCCACCACCACUGACUGGCCAUAUAAAACCCCAAUGCAUAAGACGGCGUGCCCUCCAACUGACUUGCACUUAGUGUAAGGCGCACGCUCGGAUACGCCAAAACUGCUCCAUGCGUCCGCUUCAAGUUAAGCCGGUGACCAUCCGUGCCGUGGCCAAGGUGCUGUGAUUCAAUAAUUGUGGCCGUGGGCAGCGUGUGCCGGCAGCAACGUGAGCAAGGACGCGAACAAGGUGGAGGAGAAAGUGGAGUAGAAUAUAUGGAGUCGAACAAUCGCAGUGUCCCUUCGACGCCCGGCGGACUGGUAUUUUUCUUCGUAUUGUGUUCAUCACUCGCUACAUUUAGACGCUUUCACUGUUGGCCUGCCCGUGUACGUAUGUGCGCAGGUGUCUAUAAGGUACUGUCAUAUAUUUUACGCGUAGAAAUUGUUUCAAAGACUAAUCACUCACCCCUUUGACGAUAAUUAUAUUUCAUGGGAUCUCCUUUGCCACUACCAAAAUAUGAUGAUGAUGAUGAUAAUAAAAGGGGAAAAACCUAUUAUGAGAAUGAUAUUGUCUUGCAUUUCAUGAUCAUGAGAUAUAUAUGGAAUAAUGGGACAUUGUCAAUAUAUAUUAACAAUUAAAGCCUGGAAACCAUUGAAUAUGAUGCAUGAAAUGCUAACAACGUUAUAUAUUAAAAUAUUCAGGCUGUUUAAAAAAAUGGAUCCAAUUUCAAAGCAGUAUAUUUCACGAUGGCAACAUGUUACAAUUACACAAAAAGUUACAAACGGUUCAAUGAGUUAUCCAGUUUUACUAACUAUUUUAUAAAUGCUCUGUGCCCUCCACCUGCUGUACGGACAACAUCGACACGAUUGUUUAAUUCGUUCCAAACGCCUCUCUUCUCACGUUUUCCUCUUGAGGUGCGUGGUCGCCCUGUGCUCUUCCCCU
Molecule: non-coding RNA, 5463 nt
Organism: Petromyzon marinus (sea lamprey)
Lineage: Eukaryota; Metazoa; Chordata; Hyperoartia; Petromyzontiformes; Petromyzontidae
Source: RefSeq, a predicted model, not a curated record